Molecule: long non-coding RNA, 2771 nt
Organism: Dalotia coriaria
Lineage: Eukaryota; Metazoa; Arthropoda; Insecta; Coleoptera; Staphylinidae
Exons: 6
Source: RefSeq, a predicted model, not a curated record
UGAAGACACUUACGAUUCCAUUAGAGAUAUUUACACUAUUGAUAAAAUGAAGAAGUUCAGCACAAUACGGACUAGUUUUUAAACAAUUUAAGAAUAUUGCAAGUAUUUGGUGAUUGCUUAAAAAGUACAAUAUAAACUCCAAAUAUUUCAUUACGCCUACAAAAAUAUUUUAAGUCGCAUUUGGGAACAGAUUACGAAAACUUGAUUAUGCUCAGAGACACUAUAUCUCACUUAACAGGAAUACCACAAUGUAAUCAAUAUGACAUAAAACAAGUUGCCAAAUUGACCCACACAAUGGAAUCAACACUUCGAAAGAUUUCAGAUUCAAUAUUCAAUGAAUUCGAUUCUGAUUAUGACUCUGAUUCUGAUAAUUAUAUAUAUGAUUCUCAAAAAGAUCUAAUUAAGACAAUAAACCAAGAAAUUAAUGAUGCUCCAAAAUUGUCAUAUUAUGACUGCUUAAAACAAUUAGAAGAUGCCCUCAAUCAUAAUAAAGAGCAAGGAGAAAUUGAAAUGCUACUUAUGAUCAUAUUGAAUAAUUUAAAUCAAGAACAAGGCAGAUUGAAUGCAAAUCGGGAAUGGUUCAUGGAGAAAUAUCCGACAUUAACUGGCCAACAACUCAGAAACCAUCUUGCACAUGGAGAUCCAAUUGUGGAAUUAAUGGAUGUGGAUAUAAAGAUGGCAGCCAGACACACAGCAAUAAUGCUGAUUAAGGAAUUGAAAAUGAACGAUAAGAACAAUAAAAAGAUCGAGAAGGUUACAAAAAGACCCGCAAUUGAAGUGAUGCGGAAAAUCGAUUAUCAACAAAUAACACACUUGGAAAAGAGAAGAAAUUGUUUCAAAUUAUUAUUGAAGGUGAUUUGGAAAAAUUUAAAGACUACUUACAAAAUAUUAGUUCCGAGUGGGUUAACUGGCAGGAUUUAAGGAAAAGGAAUGCCUUGCAUUAUGCUGCAGCAAACAAGAAAGAUAAUUUAGAGCUAUUUCAAUUUGUUCUUGAAGAAAGUUCAAGCUAUAUGAAACAAAUAAAGACAGAUAGUAGCUUACUAUUUCAAGCUUAAAACAAUUUUAAAAUAGCAAAACGCAUUGCCGAGUUGCAUAUUUGUGCAUUGCUCGAAAACGACAGAACAUUCUUGCAACCAAUUAAUAAUUAUGAUAUAUUGGAAUUAUGCAAGAAAUUAAUCAAAACUGAGAAAAUUCACAGCUUUUGGAACGUUUGUUAUUAUCAAAUAAGUUGUGAUAAUAUAGAGAAUCUAAAACUAUUAUUGGAUUCAAUUUAUUAUUUGUCACUCAAAGACCUAGAUUACACAGUAUCGGGUACUGGGACAAUGAAUUUUCGAAUGUAUCGUAUAGCUUCCUUUUAUAAUGCUAAAAAAGUGAUGAACUAUCUUAUCAACAUUGGAUAUGCAAUCAAUUAUCCUAAUAUCAACCAUCAAGAAAUACAUACAUAUUCCAAUACUGAAAAAUAUAAUGAAUUAAGAGAGAUUAUUAAAAGUGGACAAGUAUUCAAAGUAAAAGAACAUAAAGAAAUAGACGUCAUGAAUAGCUUGCAUUUUGCUGUUCAAAGUAGGAACUCCGAAAUAGUUAAGCAAGUGUAUCAAUGCCUGCCAGUAUUAUUAUUUAAAAAGAAUAAUGAAGACAAAACACCUUUAGAUGUUGCCGUCAAUGAAAAUCGUGUGAAAGAAUUUAACGUUUUAAUCGAACAGGCAAUCAAUAAUUCUUCAAAACAAUUACAAAUGUUUAAGACCUUGGCCAAUGAAAUUAUUAAUUUGCGUGAGUCAAAUAUUUUAGAGACAACAAAGGCGUGGCUGAAAAUGUAUUAUCAAAUACAAUAUAUGCAAUGAAGAUGAACCCCGAGGAAAAAUCGGUUCAAUAUUGGGCAAUUAAAUUGGCUCAAAGCAUGUUAGGAUACUACAAGUCAAACGAACACUUACUUAACAGCUGGAAACAAAUAGCGAUUAAUACACUAUUUCAUUUUUCUGAUGAAUCGCCCAUUGUCACAGAGUGCAUAGAUUUUGUUGUAGAGAUAUUCGACCAUAAGUGGAGAGCACAACCGAAAUAUAAUAUCGCAGAUCAAUUAGAAACCAUCUUAUGUGCCAAAUAUGACCAUUCAUCGAUUAUUUUAGAAAACUCAAUAUUGCAUUACAAAAUAAAAUUGAAUAUGGACAUUGGAGUAAGAAAAUAGCACACCAUGCUAAAUAUGCAAUUGAGACAUUUACGGAUGAUCCUCAUAUUCAACGUUAUGCCAUUAAGUUGAUAUAUCAUUUGCAUAAAAGUGGAACAGAUUCAGGAGUUUAUGAUUUAUGCCUUCGAACAUCGUUGAAAAAGUACUGUCAGUGUUUAAAAAUGACAGCACAGUACACAUAUGUUGUUAUUUGAUCGGAUUUUACUUAAUUUGUUAUGAGUCAACAAAAUUAGAAGAAACUGAUAACAAGAUAAAAUCUGAGAUGAACUACUUUAAUCUAGAAGACGAAUGGGAAAUAUAUUUCAAAAAUUUAGUUAUAAGACACUUCGAAGUUUUGGAAUAUGACUGGUUAACUUAUGCAGUUAAAACCCAAUUUAUGCCAUACAAUCCCAAAAUAACAAAUGAAGAAGUGCAUGCAAUUAGUGAAUUAAUUCAUGCCAUCCAAGAAUGACAAAGAAAACGAAAUAUUGGAAAUUAUUGAUUCAUUUAAAUGAAGAUUCUAAAGAUGAGUUGCUUUCAAUGAGUGUAAAAUACUUAAAUGAUCAACACUUUGAAAUCCCUGAGGACGUUGCCAAAUUCAUUAACACCACUU